RNAcentral lists this ribosomal RNA (422 nucleotides) under uncultured eukaryote. RNAcentral describes it as "SSU rRNA". It matches the Rfam family "Eukaryotic small subunit ribosomal RNA", at positions 592 to 1018 of the family's 1831-position model. The record is from RNAcentral.
CAAUAGCGUAUAUUAAAGUUGUUGCGGUUAAAAAGCUCGUAGUUGGAUUUCUGCUGAGGACGACCGGUCCGCCCUCUGGGUGAGUAUCUGGCUCGGCCUUGGCAUCUUCUUGGGGAACGUAACUGCACUUGACUGUGUGGUGCGGUAUCCAGGACUUUUACUUUGAGGAAAUUAGAGUGUUUCAAGCAGGCGCACGCCUUGAAUACAUUAGCAUGGAAUAAUAAGAUAGGACCUUGGUUCUAUUUUGUUGGUUUCUAGAGCUGAGGUAAUGAUUAAUAGGGAUAGUUGGGGGCAUUCGUAUUUAACUGUCAGAGGUGAAAUUCUUGGAUUCGGUCAAGACUAACUUAUGCGAAAGCAUUCACCAAGGAUGUCUUCUUUAAUCAAGAACGAAAGUUGGGGGAUCGAAGACGAUCAGAUACCGU